GUCCGGGCCAUCAUCAGUUUUCCCCGGGGGAUAAAGGCGGCGGGAAUGUGGCUCUCUUCGGGGAGUGUUAUAGCCCACCGUGUAAUACCCUGGGGGGGACUGAGGUUCGCGCAUCUGCAAGGAUGCUGGCGUAAUGGUCAUCAACGA
This 147-nucleotide ribosomal RNA is filed under the name Fusarium sp. RNAcentral describes it as "partial large subunit ribosomal RNA". Lineage: Eukaryota; Fungi; Ascomycota; Sordariomycetes; Hypocreales; Nectriaceae. The record is from RNAcentral.